AUGGCGGACUUGAAGAGAAAUGAGCACGUUGGAGAGCGCUCUGUGUUUCCUUACCUGACCGCUCUAGUCAACUGCGCCCUUUGGCUUUGCUACGGCAUCUCACCAAUGGGUAGCAGUCUCAUAAUUGUGAUCAAUGUGUUCGGGGCUGCAUGGGAGAUCUAUUACAUUUACACAUUCCUGUACUUCUGUGAGGAAGAUCAACGUCCGUGGGGAUUCAUUUAUGCGUGGUUCGGAAUCCUUAUUGUUUUUCUAGCAGAUAUGGCAAAAUACAAGUUAUUCUUCAGCUGGGCCUGCGCCCUGUGUGGCAGUUUGGUAUCGGUUUCCCCUCUGUUCAACUUGGGGACUGUGCGUCGGCAGAAGAGCAUGGACUCGAUGCCACCAUUGCUUCAAGUGGUGUUGUCUUUGGCGAACACAACGCUCUGGCGAACACAACGCUCUGGGCUGGAUACGCCUACAUGGCUGAAAAAUGCGACAAUUUCAUCUUUUACCCAAGCUUGGUAG
This 501-nucleotide ribosomal RNA is filed under the name Triticum aestivum (bread wheat). Its description in RNAcentral is "partial small subunit ribosomal RNA". Lineage: Eukaryota; Viridiplantae; Streptophyta; Magnoliopsida; Poales; Poaceae. The record is from RNAcentral.